AGCGAGGUGGGGAAGUAAGGUCAUCCCGGCGGGCUCAUAACCCACAAAUCAGUAGUUCAAAUCUACUCCUCGCUA
This 75-nucleotide transfer RNA is filed under the name Candidatus Nitrosopumilus sp. RNAcentral describes it as "tRNA-Met". It matches the Rfam family "tRNA". Rfam says of the family: Transfer RNA (tRNA) molecules are approximately 80 nucleotides in length. Their secondary structure includes four short double-helical elements and three loops (D, anti-codon, and T loops). Further hydrogen bonds mediate the characteristic L-shaped molecular structure. tRNAs have two regions of fundamental functional importance: the anti-codon, which is responsible for specific mRNA codon recognition, and the 3' end, to which the tRNAs corresponding amino acid is attached (by aminoacyl-tRNA synthetases). tRNAs cope with the degeneracy of the genetic code in two manners: having more than one tRNA (with a specific anti-codon) for a particular amino acid; and 'wobble' base-pairing, i.e. permitting non-standard base-pairing at the 3rd anti-codon position. The record is from RNAcentral. RNAcentral also lists the same sequence under 3 other names. Lineage: Archaea; Thermoproteati; Nitrososphaerota; Nitrososphaeria; Nitrosopumilales; Nitrosopumilaceae.